RNAcentral lists this ribosomal RNA (460 nucleotides) under uncultured bacterium. RNAcentral's name for it is "bacterial SSU rRNA". It matches the Rfam family "Bacterial small subunit ribosomal RNA", at positions 29 to 491 of the family's 1533-position model. The record is from RNAcentral.
AUUGAACGCUGGCAGCAUGCCUUACACAUGCAAGUCGAACGGCAGCGGACCUUCGGGUGCCGGCGAGUGGCGAACGGGUGAGUAAUACAUCGGAACGUGCCCGAUCGUGGGGGAUAACGCAGCGAAAGCUGUGCUAAUACCGCAUACGAUCUACGGAUGAAAGCGGGGGACUCGCAAGGGCCUCGCGCGGACGGAGCGGCCGAUGGCAGAUUAGGUAGUUGGUGGGAUAAAAGCUUACCAAGCCGACGAUCUGUAGCUGGUCUGAGAGGACGACCAGCCACACUGGGACUGAGACACGGCCCAGACUCCUACGGGAGGCAGCAGUGGGGAAUUUUGGACAAUGGGCGCAAGCCUGAUCCAGCCAUGCCGCGUGCAGGAUGAAGGGCCUUCGGGUUGUAAACUGCUUUGUACGACGAAAAAGCCUUACUCUAAUAAAGGGGUGAAUGACGGUACCGUAAGG